RNAcentral lists this ribosomal RNA (466 nucleotides) under uncultured bacterium. Its description in RNAcentral is "partial 16S ribosomal RNA". It matches the Rfam family "Bacterial small subunit ribosomal RNA", at positions 28 to 507 of the family's 1533-position model. The record is from RNAcentral.
GACGAACGCUGGCGGCGUGCUUAACACAUGCCAGUCGAACGGAAAGGCCCUGCUUGCAGGGUACUCGAGUGGCGAACGGGUGAGUAACACGUGGGUGAUCUGCCCUGCACUUCGGGAUAAGCCUGGGAAACUGGGUCUAAUACCGGAUAGGAGCCAUUUUUAGUGUGAUGGUUGGAAAGUUUUUUUCGGUGUAGGAUGAGCUCGCGGCCUAUCAGCUUGUUGGUGGGGUAAUGGCCUACCAAGGCGGCGACGGGUAGCCGGCCUGAGAGGGUGGACGGCCACAUUGGGACUGAGAUACGGCCCAGACUCCGACGGGAGGCAGCAGUGGGGAAUAUUGCACAAUGGGCGCAAGCCUGAUGCAGCGACGCCGCGUGGGGGAUGACGGCCUUCGGGUUGUAAACUCCUUUCGCUAGGGACGAAGCUUUUUGUGACGGUACCUAGAUAAGAAGCACCGGCUAACUACGUG